UAAUGCUCAGAAGAGGCAACAGACUAUUGGACCUCUGUUGAAGACUGAUCCAUAGGAAAAGGCUCCCAUCACUAAAGUACCUUGAUGAUGAAUCCAGCCCUGGUGUACUCCUGCUCUCCGCUUCCCUUGCACGGUGAGAGUCCUACCCUGAGACUUUUAAGACAUCCAAGAAUCAAUGUGGACUAGAACAUAUGAAACCACUUAAGAAGUGGGCAACAACAGCAGACUGAGGCAGCCUAGAGACCUGAUGCUAAGAUUAUCACACAAGGAGAGCAGAGCUGCAUGCAGGGUAGGAGCAAGCAGGAUGUUAGUUGUCUUCAGGCAAAAGGGGUUGAGGACCUAACCCAGUAACUUGCAGCUAGGGUGCCUUGAGAUCCUUUCAGCAAUGCCAGAGGGUGCCAGGCCAUGUGAGCUCUGUUUGGCAUGCAAACACGAUUCACAAAAUAAACGCAGAGUUUUCAAGUGGGAAUCCAUAGGCCCCUUGUGGCCUUUCUGAGUUCUUGGCAAUAGAAGAAUUGCCCUAUUAUUUUUUCUAUAGUCAAAAAUUGAGUGAAAACUAAGAGCUGGCAUUUUCAGAGGGGCACCUUGAGUCUAAAACGUUUGAGAGCCACUGUCCUAGACAUACUAUUUAUGAGGCAUGAGAAUGUGGGGCCCUACUGGGUUAGAAGAUCAUGCUGCGUAGAUGAGUCUGAACAAGAGCCACGGAAACUGUAGCUCUUGUUUAGCAUCUCAAAUUUAGCCAGGUUUUGUAUCUUCAGCCUGUCUUACUAUGAGCCCUCUCUGGAAAGAAGAGUCCCUUUCAUACAGUCCUCACUGACUCCCAGGGGUCCUAGCUUCUAAUCAAUAAUGUUUAUAGAUGUGGCAAAACUUACAGGGUGGCUCCAGCAAUGCCAGAGUCACCAUUAGGAAAUGGAAAUCUCUUUAACUCAGAGGACGACCGCAUGGCAUAAUUUGACAACAGAUUCUUUCCUAUUGGUAGUUGCUGAGCCAUGUAUUACAAUGGGUCUUUUCUGAAUCAAGGGCCUGCUACCAAUUUGGUAAUUACAUGCUGAGAAGCAAGAUGUUCCAUCUACGUCAGCUCCAAGAGGGGAGAACUCUUUAGUUUUGUGACAACUUGGUCAUUGUCAUGAACGGCUAGUUAAAAUAACGACUUGAACCUGGUUAAUUUGCAUCUGGAAUGCAAGGUCCCAUAAAGGUAAUACGAAGAUCUUCUUGAGAUGCCAUGGUCCAUUUCAUCAGGGCAUUGUAACAAGGCUGCCGACAAAACCAAGCCCUACUGUGCAAGAGCUCUUUUUCUAAAGUUUCCAGAAACAUUAAGUACCAAACAUGAUUCACAUUCCAAUAACAUUUGUUUCUGUUUCAAUCUUCAACUGAAUAAUAUAGCCCUGGCCCCUAGCUUGUAAUAAAGAUUCUAGUUGUCUUUUAACUGGAGAAAAAUAUGUGUUGUGUUAUAUGUGAUGAAGCACCACAGCAUUUGUAUCCCCCUUUUCAAAUCCCUAGAUCCACCCCUGAUCGUGGGAUACUGAGCUAGAUGAACCUUUUAAAAUCCUUUUUAAAAUUUUUGUGUUUGGUCCCUGGCAGAUGACUGCGGACAACUUUCCGGUUGAGAUACGGCGUAUGUGUAAAGUCCUUAGACAAGUUGGAGGUCUCUGACCAGUUUGCUCAGUGAGUGGAAGGCCUCAGUUCCAUGUUCAGAGUUAGGCUGAGAUAAUUGCAUCUAUUUAGACCCAUUUGAGGGCUGGAGUUUCUACUGAUAGAUGGUUUCCACAAACUCAAAACACUUCUCAGCCAGAUAAGAUCUCAAUGUCCUUGGUGAAAGACUCCUGGACCCUGAAUCCAGCCUCCUUCAAGGCAGGUCAAGGAUAUGUGUCCCUAUUUGAAGGAGAGUGGCAGGUUUGGCCACUUUACUCCAUAGCA
Long non-coding RNA from Gavialis gangeticus (Gharial), 1917 nucleotides. RefSeq lists it as uncharacterized. The record is from RefSeq and is a predicted model, not a curated record. NCBI's taxonomy places the organism in Eukaryota, Metazoa, Chordata, Crocodylia, Gavialidae. The transcript has 2 exons.